RNAcentral lists this ribosomal RNA (475 nucleotides) under uncultured organism. Its description in RNAcentral is "partial 16S ribosomal RNA". It matches the Rfam family "Bacterial small subunit ribosomal RNA", at positions 332 to 798 of the family's 1533-position model. The record is from RNAcentral.
UACACUCCUGCGGGAGGCAGCAGUGGGGAAUUUUGGACAAUGGGCGAAAGCCUGAUCCAGCCAUGCCGCGUGCAGGAUGAAGGCCUUCGGGUUGUAAACUGCUUUUGUACGGAACGAAACGGCCUUUUCUAAUAAAGAGGGCUAAUGACGGUACCGUAAGAAUAAGCACCGGCUAACUACGUGCCAGCAGCCGCGGUAAUACGUAGGGUGCAAGCGUUAAUCGGAAUUACUGGGCGUAAAGCGUGCGCAGGCGGUUAUGUAAGACAGUUGUGAAAUCCCCGGGCUCAACCUGGGAACUGCAUCUGUGACUGCAUAGCUAGAGUACGGUAGAGGGGGAUGGAAUUCCGCGUGUAGCAGUGAAAUGCGUAGAUAUGCGGAGGAACACCGAUGGCGAAGGCAAUCCCCUGGACCUGUACUGACGCUCAUGCACGAAAGCGUGGGGAGCAAACAGGAUUAGAAACCCGGGUAGUCCCAU